Molecule: long non-coding RNA, 534 nt
Organism: Carassius gibelio (silver crucian carp)
Lineage: Eukaryota; Metazoa; Chordata; Actinopteri; Cypriniformes; Cyprinidae
Exons: 4
Source: RefSeq, a predicted model, not a curated record
AGUCAUCAAAACAGCAGACCAUAUCUGUAUGAUAGCAGCAGACAUUUUUUGAAGCGAUACGAAUUGAGCUUGCGUGACAUGGCUUCUUCUGGGGAAGAAAUAAUAUCUAUACAGAGAGGUUGCAACUUACCUGCGCUUAACAGAUGCACCUCCUGCUGUUCCCUAUUUCACUGUCCUUUCUGUAAUUCUGAUUUUUUUUCAAGCCCUCAAAGAAAAGUAAAGUACAAACUCAUCUUAAGCUUCACUUUUCUAGGGCAGUCGUCCAUGAAGAUUAUACAAUCCACUGGUGUGGUCUAGGUUGUGUGCCACAAUUACAACUACCACUAGAAUCUACAGGAGUCAUGCUGUUAAGAAAUAAAAGUCAUGGUGUUAAUAAAUAUUUUUGUGAACAACAAUAUUGUCUCUUUCUUUUAAAUGACCCUUGGAAUUUUAGAAAAGGGUUAAAUUAUGUUUGUCUUCAUAAAAUGCUAUGUAGGACAUGUUUUGUAGCUGUAUGACGACCAAUUGUGAAUUGUACAGCAGAUAUUUCAUUUA